This 66-nucleotide transfer RNA is filed under the name Culex tritaeniorhynchus. RNAcentral describes it as "tRNA-Ala". Lineage: Eukaryota; Metazoa; Arthropoda; Insecta; Diptera; Culicidae. The record is from RNAcentral.
GGGGUAAUAGUUAACUAUAACAUUCAAUUUGCAUUUAAAAAGUAUUGAUUUUAUCAAUUUAUCUUA